GCCGAUGUAGCUCAGCCGGUAGAGCAACGCAUUCGUAAUGCGUCGGUCGGCGGUUCGAAUCCGCCCAUCGGCUCCA
RNAcentral lists this transfer RNA (76 nucleotides) under Gammaproteobacteria bacterium. RNAcentral describes it as "tRNA-Thr". It matches the Rfam family "tRNA". From Rfam's summary of the family: Transfer RNA (tRNA) molecules are approximately 80 nucleotides in length. Their secondary structure includes four short double-helical elements and three loops (D, anti-codon, and T loops). Lineage: Bacteria; Pseudomonadati; Pseudomonadota; Gammaproteobacteria. The record is from RNAcentral.